CUACGGGGGGCAGCAGUGGGGAAUAUUGGACAAUGGGCGAAAGCCUGAUCCAGCCAUGCCGCGUGUGUGAAGAAGGCCUUCGGGUUGUAAAGCACUUUCAGUGGGGAAGAAAGCCUUGGGGCUAAUACCCUCGAGGAAGGACAUCACCCACAGAAGAAGCACCGGCUAACUCCGUGCCAGCAGCCGCGGUAAUACGGAGGGUGCGAGCGUUAAUCGGAAUUACUGGGCGUAAAGCGCGCGUAGGCGGUCUGAUAAGCCGGUUGUGAAAGCCCCGGGCUCAACCUGGGAACGGCAUCCGGAACUGUCAGGCUAGAGUGCAGGAGAGGAAGGUAGAAUUCCCGGUGUAGCAGUGAAAUGCGUAGAGAUCGGGAGGAAUACCAGUGGCGAAGGCGGCCUUCUGGACUGACACUGACGCUGAGGUGCGAAAGCGUGGGUAGCAAACAGGAUUAGAUACCCGAGUAGUC
Molecule: ribosomal RNA, 464 nt
Filed under: Vreelandella stevensii
Lineage: Bacteria; Pseudomonadati; Pseudomonadota; Gammaproteobacteria; Oceanospirillales; Halomonadaceae
Description: partial 16S ribosomal RNA
Rfam family: Bacterial small subunit ribosomal RNA
Source: RNAcentral